CCUANGGGUGGCUGCAGUCGAGAAUAUUCGACAAUGGGCGCAAGCCUGAUCGAGCGACGCCGCGUGCAGGAAGAAGGGCUUCGGCCUGUAAACUGCUUUUGUAAUGGAGGAACGCAAGUGACUGUACAUUACGAAUAAGGAGCUGCAAACUUCGUGCCAGCAGCCGCGGUAAUACGAAGGCUCCGAGCGUUAUCCGGAUUUAUUGGGCGUAAAGGGUCUCCAGACGGUCGUGUUAGUCGGGUGUUAAAUCUCUGGGCUCAACCCAGAGGCCGCAUUCGAAACGGCACGACUUGAGGCAAGGAGAGGUGACUAGAAUUCUUGGUGUAGGGGUGAAAUCCGUUGAUAUCAAGGAGAAUACCAAAGGCGAAGGCAUGUCACUGGCCUUGUCCUGACGUUCACAGACGAAAGCGUGGGUCGCGAAUGGGAUUAGAUACCCUANUANUC
RNAcentral lists this ribosomal RNA (444 nucleotides) under uncultured bacterium. Its description in RNAcentral is "bacterial SSU rRNA". It matches the Rfam family "Bacterial small subunit ribosomal RNA", at positions 338 to 795 of the family's 1533-position model. The record is from RNAcentral.